Molecule: ribosomal RNA, 478 nt
Filed under: uncultured bacterium
Lineage: Bacteria
Description: partial 16S ribosomal RNA
Rfam family: Bacterial small subunit ribosomal RNA
Source: RNAcentral
GACGAACGCUGGCGGCGUGCUUAACACAUGCAAGUCGAACGGUAAGGCCCUCCGGGGUACACGAGUGGCGAACGGGUGAGUAACACGUGGGUGAUCUGCCCUGCACUUUGGGAGAAGCCUGGGAAACUGGGUCUAAUACCGGCUAGGCCCAUGCGCUCCAGGGAGUGGGGGGGAACGCUUUUGCGGUGUGGGAUGGGCCGGCGGGAUAUCGUCUUGUUGGUGGUGGAAUGGCCUACCAAGUCGACGACGGGUAGCCGGCCUGGUGGGGUGACCGGCGUCACUGGGACUGGGAUACGGGCCAGACGCCUACGGGAGACAGCAGUGGGGAAUAUUGCACAAUGGUCGCAAGCCUGAUGCAGCGACGCCGCGUGAGGGAUGACGGCCUUCGGGUUGUAAACCUCUUUCAGUAGGGACGAAGCGCAAGUGACGUUACCUACAGAAGAAGCACCGGCCAACUACGUGCCAGCCGCCGCCGUAA